AGUCGACGGCAGCCGGGGGCACCCUGGUGGCGAGUGGCGAACGGGUGAGUAUACAUCGGAACGUGUCCUGUAGUGGGGGAUAGCCCGGCGAAAGCCGGAUUAAUACCGCAUACGAUCUACGGAAGAAAGCGGGGGAUCUUCGGACCUCGCGCUGCAGGGGCGGCCGAUGGCAGAUUAGCUAGUUGGUGGGGUAAAGGCCUACCAAGGCGACGAUCUGUAGCUGGUCUGAGAGGACGACCAGCCACACUGGGACUGAGACACGGCCCAGACUCCUACGGGAGGCAGCAGUGGGGAAUUUUGGACAAUGGGGGCAACCCUGAUCCAGCAAUGCCGCGUGUGUGAAGAAGGCCUUCGGGUUGUAAAGCACUUUUGUCCGGAAAGAAAACCAUCGCCCUAAUAUGGUGGUGGGAUGACGGUACCGGAAGAAUAAGCACCGGCUAACUACGUGCCAGCAGCCGCGGUAAUACGUAGGGUGCGAGCGUUAAUCGGAAUUACUGGGCGUAAAGCGUGCGCAGGCGGUCUGUUAAGACCGAUGUGAAAUCCCCGGGCUUAACCUGGGAACUGCAUUGGUGACUGGCAGGCUUUGAGUGUGGCAGAGGGAGGUAGAAUUCCACGUGUAGCAGUGAAAUGCGUAGAGA
This 638-nucleotide ribosomal RNA is filed under the name uncultured bacterium. RNAcentral describes it as "bacterial SSU rRNA". It matches the Rfam family "Bacterial small subunit ribosomal RNA", at positions 60 to 696 of the family's 1533-position model. The record is from RNAcentral.